Molecule: transfer RNA, 97 nt
Filed under: Caldilineaceae bacterium
Lineage: Bacteria; Bacillati; Chloroflexota; Caldilineae; Caldilineales; Caldilineaceae
Description: tRNA-Sec
Rfam family: Selenocysteine transfer RNA
Source: RNAcentral
GGGGAGGGAUGUCGCCCGGUGGCGGCCCCAGUCUUCAAAAUUGGUGGGCGGCGGCGCAGAGCCGGCGUCGGUGGGUUCGACUCCCACGCCUUCCCGC